AAGUCGUAACAAGGUUUCCGUAGGUGAACCUGCGGAAGGAUCAUUAUCGAAUUUUGUGAGGGGUUGUCGCUGGCCCAGAAGGGCAUGUGCACGCCCCGAACAUCCUCCACACACCUGUGCACUUUCUGUAGGGACCGGUUGUGGCGCCGAGCCGCUUCCGCUUCCUAUGUCUUUCACAAACGCAUCAGUUGUAGAAUGUCUCUUGCUAUAAACGCAUAAAUAUAACUUUCAGCAACGGAUCUCUUGGCUCUC
Molecule: unclassified non-coding RNA, 252 nt
Filed under: fungal sp.
Lineage: Eukaryota; Fungi
Description: partial internal transcribed spacer region
Rfam family: Eukaryotic small subunit ribosomal RNA (bases 1-46)
Source: RNAcentral